This 4482-nucleotide long non-coding RNA is filed under the name Canis lupus familiaris (dog). RNAcentral's name for it is "lncRNA (ENSCAFG00000054719.1)". The stretch from base 4411 to 4482 matches the Rfam family "Small nucleolar RNA SNORD113/SNORD114 family". The record is from RNAcentral. Lineage: Eukaryota; Metazoa; Chordata; Mammalia; Carnivora; Canidae.
CAACCAGGAGCAUGAAGACUAAUAUAACUAUUAUCCAAUGAAGAAGAUCUUGACUGUUACUUCUGUGGAAUGAAGACCAUGGUUGAUUUAAUCCGUCUUUGCUGAUGAAGAUCUUGGCUGCUACCUUUGUGGGUAAGGAACCUAAUGACUAAGGAUGGAUGCAUGAUGAAUCAAUUAUGGAGUGUAGAAACUUAUAAUGGAUGCUCCCGGCCAAUUUAAGCAUCUCCAUGAUCAUGAGCUCUCUGGUUCCCUAGGAGCAUAGAGACCAAUAAUGGACACACUUGAGAUGAUUCUCUGUGGUUGGCUCCAUUGUUAGGAACAGAGACAUGAAUAGUGGUCACACAAGCUGAUUAAAGCACCUUUCAUUAUUAUGAGCUCUAUAGGAUAUGGAGACCAGCAAUGGAUCCAUUGGACCUGAUUCUUCCAUGGUCACAAGAUGUCUGCUUGUCUCUAUGUGUUUGGUACAUAGAAAGAAGGAAUGCACACACUCAAGGUGGUUUAAGUAGUAUGCCUCGACCAAUGAUCUCUGCAUUUGCCUGUAGGAACAUGGAUACCAACAAUGGGUGCACAACUCCAGUGGGCUGAAGCAUCUCCUGCGGUCACAAGCUCUAUGUUGCAGAGACGAAUAAUGGAUACACUUGAACUUACUUAGGCAUUUGGCUGUGAUCAGGUGCUCAUGGAUGCCCCUGUGUGUGAGAGCAUGAAAGCCAAUGGUGGCUGCGAAGGAAUGAAGUAGUGCUGCGAUGCAGAUGUCCCUUGAAAACAUUGUGCCAAGUGAAAGAAGGCAUAUGGAAAAGAAUGGAACCUCGAGCGGUCUGGCUGUGGUCAAGGUUGUCAUGCUGCUUCCGUGGUGGAAAGAGACCAUGGAUGGACAUCCCAAAGCUGGUUGAAGAAUUCUUGGUUACAAUCUCUAUGAUUGCAUCUCUGAUUACAGAGACCAGUAAAGAAAAUACUUGACCCGAUGUAAGCAUCUGCCAUGUUCAGGCGCUCCAGGCUAGCCUCUCUGUGUGGGAGCAUGAAGCCCGAUAAUCGACACACUCCAGCUGAUAUAAGCAUUUUCCAUAGUCAAAAGGUCUGUGAUGUCCUGUGUGUUCUGAGCAUAGAGAUGAAUAAUGCAUGCACUCCAGCUGCUAUAAGCACUUCCAUGGUUACGAGCUCUCUGGUUGCAUCUGUGAGUUAGGAGCAUAGAGACCAAUAAUAGACGCACGCUGAUUUAAGCAUUCUUCCAUGAUCGCAAGUUCUAUGGCUACAUCUUUGUGUUGGAGAAUGGAGACCAAUAAUGGCCGCACUGAGGCUGAUGUAAGCAUCUUCCAUGGUCAUGAGCUCCAUGUCUGCACUUAUGCAUUAGGAAUGUAUAGACCAACAAUGACACACACAAGCUUAUUAAAGCAUCUUCACAUGUAGGAGCGCCAUGGUUGCAUCUGUAUCUUAGGAGCAUGGAGAACAAUAAUGGAUGUAUUCCAGUUAAUUUAAGAUCUUCCAUGGUCAGGAGCUUUAUAGUUUUAGAAGCAUGGUGAGCAGUGUGAGUAAUAUUCAGUGUUUUUCUUGGCUAGACUAUUGUUUUAAAAAAAUUUUUCAUUGUAUUAUUAAAAUUCAUAUUAUAUAAUCAUAUUAAAAUGAAAUUUUACCAUUUGGGAGUGACAUGGAUGAAGCUAGAAAGUGUUAUGCUAAGUGAAAUAACUCAGUCAGAAAAAGACAAAUACCCAUAUGAUUUCACUCAAAUGUGGAUUUAAGAAACAAAAUAAACAAAGGGGAAAAAAGAGAGGGGUGCAAACCAAGAAAUAGACUCCUUUUUUUUUUUUCUGUUAAGAAAUAGACUCUUAACUCCAGAGAACAAACUGAUGGUUAUCAGAGCAGAGCUGGAGGGAGGAGGGGAUGGCUAAAGAGGUGAUGGGGAUGAAGGAGAACACUUGUGAUGAGCACAGGGUAUUGUAUGCAAGUGUUAAAUCACUAAAUUGUACACCUGAAAUUAACACUGUAUGUUAACUAACUGGAAUUGAAAUAAAGGCUUAGAAAUAUUAAAUAUAAUCAAAGAAGGUGAGAUAGGCUAACGUUAAAUAUCAGAUUAAUACGAAGCACUGUGUUGAUUAAUGCAUGUAUAAAACACUAAGCUAAGUUAAUGAAAGAAAUUUGGUCUCAGUGGAAAUGAUUGGGUAUAUGGAUGUUAGAAAUAUUAAAGGAUCUUAUUCUUGUUUUUUUCAUGUGAUUUAUGUAUAUUUCUUUAUUAAUGAAUUACAUGGUGAACAAAUGUAGGUGGUUGUGGAGAAAGAAAGCUAGUCCUGGACCACCAGUGAUGAUGGAUGGUAUAUGAAUCAUAUAUGAUGGAGACAUUUUCUGGAGCUCUGAGGUUCCAACACAAAUGGAAUCUGGUCUACUUUCCUUUAUGAAGGGAAUGUAUGGAUGGGUGUCAGGAAUAUAUAAGGAUUUUAUUCUUGGUCUUUGAGUUCAUGAAGCUUUAAAAUAUUAUUAUAAAAGUAUUAAUGCAAGAAUAAAUAAACAUGUAUAAAUGGCUAAAUAUGGAGAGAAUGAAGCUUUGUUUAUAAAAUAAAACAUAUACUAAAGAAAUGCACAUUAGUGUAAAGGAAUGGCUUAAAAAAAAAAGGACCAAGUAUGUCAUGUAUUUGGCUAAGGAUGAUUUAGAUAACGAUAGGGAAUAGUCAGUUAUUGCUCUCAGUCAAUAUUAAUUUGAAGUUUAUUUUAUUAACGGAAAAAUAAAUAUUACCAAAAAUUAAUAAAUGCCUAAAUGACUAUAUAUUAUAAGUGGUGGAAAAUAUAGAGAUAAUAACUAAAUCUUUCAUCAUAUUGUCUGCUUAUAUCAUAUAUUUAAUCAAGUCUUCAGAGUGAAUGCACAGAGCUGAUUUUAGCAUCCAUGGUGAUUUAGGUUGUUAUGUUACCUUUGUGUUAGAAAAGAAACCAAGGUGAAUAACUGUCAAAGGCCUUACCUUGGUCUGGGUUAUUUGUUUAAGAGAGUUCAUGGUAUUAUUUAAAAGUAGUAAGUGAAAUCAAAAAGUUAACUAUGGCCUGAUGAGAAAUAGGAUAUGAAAUAUUGUUGAUUCAUUGAUAAUGUGCAACAUUGAGGUCAACUAAUGGAAGAUGUGAUCUUUGUGUAACAUGAUUCUAAAGAUAGAAAUUUGGUUUAUUCAAGGUUUUUUUUUUUAAUUUUGUGAAUCAUGUAUUGAUUUUUAUUACCAAUGAAUUAACAAUGUAGUUAUUACAAAUGUGGAAACAAAUGAAGAGAAGGAGGCCCAAAUAUAGAACAGUGAUAAAAAAUGUUGGCAUAGGAGUUUUUCAUGUUUGGUUGCUACAUGUCUGGAGCUCUGAGUCAACACAAAACAAAAUCUAGCCUAUUUUCUGUUGUAAAUGAUCCCAUGGGUCAAUGUAGAAAUAUACAAAACUCAUAUUUUUAUUUUGAUUUGAUAUUUUUAGAUAUUAUUAUGAAUGGAUCAGCGAUUAAAACAUUAAGAAUGUAAAACACAGAUAAAUAAGGUGAAACAUUGUCCAGAUAGGAAUAUAUGUGGUGACAUAAGAAAUGAGCAAAAAUGGUCAUGAAGCAAUAAAUAGAAUAAAUUUUUGCCCUUUUGCUUAAGAAUUAUAUAGGCACUGAUAAUUAAAAGUCAUUAUUGUUAUUGAUCAGUCUCAAGUUUAAGCUUUCCUUUAGAUAAAAGAAAAAAUACUGCAUGCCUAAAUGAAUAAAUGAAAUGCAGUAAAAAAGGAUCAAUGGAUAUAGGAUCUAAAAUUUUCUAUUGUCUGCUCUACUCUGUACUCCUUAGAAUGGACCUGUCAAGCAGAUAAUAGGGAUUUUUCCAUGGUCCCAAGUUCUUGGGUUGCAUUCAUGUAUUAGGAGCAUGGAGACCAUGUGAGUAAUAGUCGAGCUUAUGGUCUUAGUUUCAUACUUUAUUUAAGGGUAUUCAGUGCACUAUUGAAAAUCAUGGAAUAUAAUCAGUGGAAUCUGAAUAUCCCACUGAGAAAUAUGGGAUUAAUAUGAAGCAUUAUAUUGAUUAAUGCAUGUAAUACAAAUUGGGAAUAAUUAAUGGAAAUGAUAUUGACAUGAGAUUUAUUCUAAAUAGAUAUUUGGGAUUUCUAGGCACUUUGUGGGUUCUGUGAAAAAUUUUUUUUUCCUUUUUUUAAAAUUUAUUUAUUUAUUAAUUAACUUAUUUAUUUAUGAUAGUCAGAGAGAGAAAGAGAGAGAGGCAGAGACACAGGCAGAGGGAGAAGCAGGCUCCAUGCACCGGGAACCCGAUGUGGGAUUUAAUCCCGGGUCUCCAGGAUCGCUCCCUGGGCCAAAAGGCAGGCGCUAAACCGCUGCGCCACCCAGGGAUCCCUGAACAAUCUUUUUAAAAGUAUAAUUACUAAAUUAUGAGUUGAUCAAUAAAUAACAUAGAGACAAAAGAUGAAAAAGAGGGACGGUAUUGGAUCGAUGAUGACCACUGGUGGCGUAUGAGUUGUGCACGAUGAAUACGUGUCUGGAACUCUGAGGUCCAA